RNAcentral lists this long non-coding RNA (513 nucleotides) under Homo sapiens (human). RNAcentral's name for it is "HSALNT0244582". Lineage: Eukaryota; Metazoa; Chordata; Mammalia; Primates; Hominidae. The record is from RNAcentral.
CAUGUUAGAAACCUACAGGAAUGUACACAGCCAGUUGGAAGAUUGCCGUUUGUAAAACUUGGAGCUGAUAGGAGUUUCAGGAAUCGGAGCUAUCUAUCAGUUGAACUCUUCACCGAUGACAACAGUAAUGACAAGAGCACCUGGAAGUCCUGUUCUCCAAGUCAACAGAUUAGAAUGGAAGUCAGACAAAAGCAAUGCUGUGCGACCGUCCAGUUCCAACUCAGCUUUCAUGACAAGGCCUUCGUACCCCUUGGACAAAGGUGUAUUUAGAAUUUGAAUUUAGAAAUGUGCCUGUACUAAUACGAUUUCCAUCUGAUGUAAACAAGUAUCGUUCCCUCAAACAGCACUUCUCUUUAAAAUAAAUAGUAGCAUGAUAUAUUUAAGGAUUUUUUUUUUUCUGCUUUGACUAUUAGAACAAAAAACAAAGAGCUGCCUAGAUAGUCAAAAAACAGUGGGACAUCCGUUCUUGCCAGUUAAGGCAUCUCUUUAAUCACUUAGGAAGAAAAACACUGA